Molecule: small RNA, 118 nt
Filed under: Arabidopsis thaliana (thale cress)
Lineage: Eukaryota; Viridiplantae; Streptophyta; Magnoliopsida; Brassicales; Brassicaceae
Description: ATSL211850
Source: RNAcentral
AAAAGUUUGCGGUGUACUAACUACAGAUAACUUUUACGUAGAAUUUUUUUUAUCCGCAUGCGAUUUAUCGUCCGCUCUAAAAAUAAAGUGGUUUUGUCUGUUAGCGAUUUAGUGUGCU